UGAGGAAUAUUGGUCAAUGGGCGAGAGCCUGAACCAGCCAAGUCGCGUGAGGGAAGACGGUCCUAUGGAUUGUAAACCUCUUUUGCCGGGGAGCAAAGAGCGGCACGUGUGCCACGCCGAGAGUACCCGGAGAAAAAGCAUCGGCUAACUCCGUGCC
This 157-nucleotide ribosomal RNA is filed under the name uncultured bacterium. Its description in RNAcentral is "partial 16S ribosomal RNA". It matches the Rfam family "Bacterial small subunit ribosomal RNA", at positions 355 to 509 of the family's 1533-position model. The record is from RNAcentral.